CUGCCCCAGGAGAAUUUAAGGAACUUUGUUAUGCGCUUACCGUAAAUUCUUUUCAAGAUUGCAUGUUGUUUAAAAAUUGGGAAGGAGUAGCCGCUUCAAGAGAAAAACUUAUUGAACAUUUUCAAAAUUUAUUUCGACCCGAGUUCGAUCCGGACGAUUUAAUUCUUCCAGCUUCACGGUUAAAGUCUCUUAUUCGUCAUGCGUGCGCCUAUCAAAUAGAGUUUAGCCGCUAUCAACCAUUAGUAGAUCCCAAAAU
Molecule: long non-coding RNA, 256 nt
Organism: Zophobas morio
Lineage: Eukaryota; Metazoa; Arthropoda; Insecta; Coleoptera; Tenebrionidae
Exons: 3
Source: RefSeq, a predicted model, not a curated record